Molecule: ribosomal RNA, 910 nt
Filed under: Triticum aestivum (bread wheat)
Lineage: Eukaryota; Viridiplantae; Streptophyta; Magnoliopsida; Poales; Poaceae
Description: partial small subunit ribosomal RNA
Source: RNAcentral
AUGGGUCAGGUGGUACCUGGUCGGCGCGGUUUCCCAAGCCGACGCUGCUCGAUGACCCCAUCUGUUCUUAUCCAUUUGUUCACCACCCAUUCGUCCCGUCCAGCCAUAGCGCUCGCCGCCCUCGAGAGCUUCUUCCACGCCGUCUUGCCCGAGGCCGUCGGUGCCGUCGUCGACUGCGUGCUCGCCUCCUUCCCCUCCUCCACCCCGCUCUCCGAGCUCUUCUGCUCCCUCCGCCGCUCUUUCCCCAAGGCACUGCUCCCCGACCACUGUGCGCGACGACGGCCACGGCCAUGUUGCCGCCUUCUGCCAUUUGCUCCCCCGCCUCGGCUACCCCAAGGACGCCCUGUGCGCGCUGGUCGUGAGGGCCUCCCCGCCGCUCCUGAUGCCCAGCCUAGCCGGCUCUAGCAACAGGCGGCAUGUCACUGGCCCAAGCAUGCACCAUCUUCUCGAUUGAUAGAAGAUUCUCAUCGCUGUUUUUGUGUAUGUAGCUGCUACUACGAGCUGUGUAGAUUCUGAUGGAUGAAGUGCAUGGCUACUUUGGUCGCGGUGCCACUGAAUUUUCAUCCAAAGUUGGACACUCUCCAGCAUAGUUGCACACACUCUCCAGCAUAGUAAUGGAUUUUAUCCAAAGUUGGACACUCUUCAGCAUAGUUGCACACACUCUCCAGCAUAGUAAUGGAUGUAAUCAGGGGUGUCUUAUAUUCAGCUACUUUGUACUCAAUUGACAUGUAAUGUAGUCUAGUUGCACACACAUUUAUGUUUAGUUGGCUUAUAAUGUAGUCUAGUUCCACACACAUUGAUAUUUAGUUGGUAAAAAAACUAGUUGCACACACAUAUGCUCAGUUGGCUUGUAAUGUAUUCUACUUGCACACACAUUGUUUAGUUGGCUUGUAAUGUAGUCUAGUUGCAC